GCCUUGGGAUAGGCUUGCGUCUGAUUAGCUAGUUGGUGUGGUAACGGCACACCAAGGCUACGAUCAGUAACUGGUCUGAGAGGAUGAUCAGUCACACUGGAACUGAGACACGGUCCAGACUCCUACGGGAGGCAGCAGUGAGGAAUAUUGGGCAAUGCUCGAAAGAGUGACCCAGCAACGCCGCGUGGAGGAUGAAGGUAUUCUAUAUCGUAAACUCCUGUGAGAGCAGACGAAAGACAGAUUAUUAAUCUGGAUGACUGUAUGCUCAGAGGAAGCCCCGCUAACUACGUG
RNAcentral lists this ribosomal RNA (291 nucleotides) under uncultured bacterium. Its description in RNAcentral is "partial 16S ribosomal RNA". It matches the Rfam family "Bacterial small subunit ribosomal RNA", at positions 217 to 507 of the family's 1533-position model. The record is from RNAcentral.